Molecule: ribosomal RNA, 429 nt
Filed under: uncultured bacterium
Lineage: Bacteria
Description: bacterial SSU rRNA
Rfam family: Bacterial small subunit ribosomal RNA
Source: RNAcentral
UCGAGAAUCUUCCGCAAUGGACGAAAGUCUGACGGAGCGACAUUUCGUGAUGGAUGAAGCCCUUCGGGGUGUAAACAUCUUUUAUCUGGGAGCAAAUUAUUGAGAGUACCAGAUGAAUAAGGGGAUCCUAAUUCUGUGCCAGCAGGAGCGGUAAUACAGAAUCCCCGAGCGUUACCCGGAUUUAUUGGGCGUAAAGGGUUGGUAGGUGGUCUAGUAAGUUCAGGGUUAAACCUCAUCGGCUUAACCUUUGAGCUGCUCUGAAUACUGCUAGACUAAGAGGGCGUUAGAGGCAAACGGAACCGAUGGAGUAGGGGUGAAAUCCGUUGAUAUCAUCGGGAACACCAAAAGCGAAGGCAGUUUGCUGGGGCGGCCCUGACACUGAACAACGAAAGCGUGGGGAGCAAAAAGGAUUAGAUACCCGUGUAGUCC